AGUUUGAUCCUGGCUCAGAUUGAACGCUGGCGGCAUGCCUUACACAUGCAAGUCGAACGGCAGCACGGGAGCAAUCCUGGUGGCGAGUGGCGAACGGGUGAGUAAUAUAUCGGAACGUGCCCGGUCGUGGGGGAUAACGUAGCGAAAGCUACGCUAAUACCGCAUACGAUCUACGGAUGAAAGCGGGGGAUCGCAAGACCUCGCGCGAUUGGAGCGGCCGAUAUCAGAUUAGGUAGUUGGUGAGGUAAAGGCUCACCAAGCCGACGAUCUGUAGCUGGUCUGAGAGGACGACCAGCCACACUGGGACUGAGACACGGCCCAGACUCCUACGGGAGGCAGCAGUGGGAAUUUUGGACAAUGGGCGAAAGCCUGAUCCAGCAAUGCCGCGUGAGUGAUGAAGGCCUUAGGGUUGUAAAGCUCUUUUACCCGAGAUGAUAAUGACAGUAUCGGGAGAAUAAGCUCCGGCUAACUCCGUG
RNAcentral lists this ribosomal RNA (476 nucleotides) under uncultured bacterium. Its description in RNAcentral is "bacterial SSU rRNA". It matches the Rfam family "Bacterial small subunit ribosomal RNA", at positions 10 to 507 of the family's 1533-position model. The record is from RNAcentral.